Long non-coding RNA from Hydra vulgaris (swiftwater hydra), 575 nucleotides. RefSeq lists it as uncharacterized. The record is from RefSeq and is a predicted model, not a curated record. Lineage: Eukaryota; Metazoa; Cnidaria; Hydrozoa; Anthoathecata; Hydridae.
UGUAUUUAUAAAGUCAUAUUUUGUAAAAUCAAUUGAUUUUACAAAAUAUGAUUGGUUGUUUUUUAUUUAAGCCCAUGCAUAUUCCAAGUUAAUAAAGCAAUAUAAAAGAGCUAGUUUUUUGAAUUAUUAGAACCAUUUAGCAGUUUCUUCAGUUAAAAAACAACGAAGAGAUAUAACUUCUAAAAUUUUUUAUCACAAUGAUUGCGCCUGUGGUAUUCAUUUUAUUAAUAGUAAGCUCUGCGUGUUUACAUAAAAGCCCAAAGGUCAUUUCUUUGAAUGAGGAUUCCGGUUUAUCCAUCGAUACUGUAAAAGACCCAACUGUGAAUGAAAAGCGAUUGUUUACUUGUGAUCACAACUGCUGGUACAAUGAUUGGAAACACCGUGACCAGAGAGCACGGAACGACAAUAUGUUUAAUCGCCGUUGCUCGUAUUCGUAUUGGUUUGGUAGAUGCUACUGCUAUGGUUCUCCUCGCUGCUAAUUUUUCAACGUUGUUCAAAAUUUUUAUUAUCACAUUAUUUUAUACAAGUGAUUUUUAACUAUACUCUUGUUAACUAAAAAAACAAAAUUCUUUAAA